Molecule: ribosomal RNA, 374 nt
Filed under: uncultured bacterium
Lineage: Bacteria
Description: bacterial SSU rRNA
Rfam family: Bacterial small subunit ribosomal RNA
Source: RNAcentral
AACGAACGCUGGCGGCAUGCCUAACACAUGCAAGUCGAACGAGACCUUCGGGUCUAGUGGCGCACGGGUGCGUAACGCGUGGGAACCUGCCUUUAGGUCCGGAAUAACUCCUCGAAAGGGGUGCUAAUACCGGAUAAUGUCUUCGGACCAAAGAUUUAUUGCCUUUAGAUGGGCCCGCGUUGGAUUAGCUUGUUGGUGGGGUAAAGGCCUACCAAGGCGACGAUCCAUAGCUGGUCUUAGAGGAUGAUCAGCCACACUGGGACUGAGACACGGCCCAGACUCCUACGGGAGGCAGCAGUGGGGAAUAUUGGGACAAUGGGCGAAAGCCUGAUCCAGCAAUGCCGCGUGAGUGAUGAAGGCCCUAGGGUUGUAAG